GAUGAAGAACGUAGUGAAAUGCGAUAAGUAAUGUGAAUUGCAGAAUCCAGUGAAUCAUCGAAUCUUUGAACGCACAUUGCGCCCGCCAGCAUUCUGGCGGGCAUGCCUGUUCGAGCGUCAUUUCAACCCUCGACCUCCCCUUGGGGAGGUCGGCGUUGGGGACCGGCAGCACACCGCCGGCCCUGAAAUGGAGUGGCGGCCCGUCCGCGGCGACCUCUGCGUAGUAAUACAGCUCGCACCGGAACCCCGACGCGGCCACGCCGUAAAACACCCAACUUCUGAACGUUGACCUCGAAUCAGGUAGGACUACCCGCUGAACUUAAGCAUAUCAAUAAGCGGAGGA
RNAcentral lists this unclassified non-coding RNA (343 nucleotides) under soil metagenome. Its description in RNAcentral is "partial contains 5.8S ribosomal RNA, internal transcribed spacer 2, and large subunit ribosomal RNA". The stretch from base 1 to 120 matches the Rfam family "5.8S ribosomal RNA", at positions 35 to 154 of the family's 154-position model. The record is from RNAcentral.